Molecule: ribosomal RNA, 253 nt
Filed under: uncultured bacterium
Lineage: Bacteria
Description: partial 16S ribosomal RNA
Rfam family: Bacterial small subunit ribosomal RNA
Source: RNAcentral
UACGUAGGUGGCAAGUGUUAUCCGGAAUUAUUGGGCGUAAAGCGCGCGCAGGCGGUUUCUUAAGUCUGAUGUGAAAGCCCACGGCUCAACCGUGGAGGGUCAUUGGAAACUGGGGAACUUGAGUGCAGAAGAGGAUAGUGGAAUUCCAAGUGUAGCGGUGAAAUGCGUAGAGAUUUGGAGGAACACCAGUGGCGAAGGCGACUAUCUGGUCUGUAACUGACACUGAGGCGCGAAAGCGUGGGGAGCAAACAGG